RNAcentral lists this microRNA precursor (85 nucleotides) under Mustela putorius furo (domestic ferret). Its description in RNAcentral is "miRNA (ENSMPUG00000022034.1)". Lineage: Eukaryota; Metazoa; Chordata; Mammalia; Carnivora; Mustelidae. The record is from RNAcentral.
UGGGUGUGUACGUAUGUGUGCAUGUGCAUGUGUGUGCACACGUGCAAUUUAAUAUAUUAUCUUGCAAGAAGAUAUGCAUACAAAU